GAAUUGCGAAAAGUAAUGUGAAUUGCAGAAUUCCGCGAAUCAUUGAAUCUUUGAACGCACCUUGCACUCUAUGGUUUUCCAGAGAGUAUAGCUGUUUGAGCAUCAUUACACUAUUCGUGGGGCGCGUUGCAGAUUGUGACGUGCGCCGUGGUCUUGGGCUCUCUAUUGCGUGGCGGUAUGCCGCGGCGGUGGUUGCCUGAAAUGCAGCGCAAGCUGUGGCUAGUCCGCGGUUGGUCAGCGUGUAUGGUUCUUCCGUUGGAGAUUUUGUACGCUGUUGUGCCGGCUGGUGUGGAUUUGCAGCUGCGGGGAUGUGUCUUUGGCGCGUCUGCCGGUGGGCACACUUGCCCAUCACUUUUUGAUCUCAAAUCAGCUAGGACUACCCGCUGAAUUUAA
This 393-nucleotide unclassified non-coding RNA is filed under the name uncultured fungus. RNAcentral's name for it is "sequence contains ITS1". The stretch from base 1 to 105 matches the Rfam family "5.8S ribosomal RNA", at positions 50 to 154 of the family's 154-position model. Lineage: Eukaryota; Fungi. The record is from RNAcentral.